GUGGGGAAUAUUGGACAAUGGGCGCAAGCCUGAUCCAGCCAUGCCGCGUGAGUGAAGAAGGCCUUCGGGUUGUAAAGCUCUUUUGUCCGGAAAGAAAAGCUGCCGGUUAAUACCCGGUGGUUAUGACGGUACCGGAAGAAUAAGCACCGGCUAACUUCGUGCCAGCAGCCGCGGUAAUACGAAGGGUGCAAGCGUUACUCGGAAUUACUGGGCGUAAAGCGUGCGUAGGUGGUUCGUUAAGUCUGAUGUGAAAGCCCUGGGCUCAACCUGGGAAUGGCAUUGGAAACUGGCGACCUAGAGUGCGGUAGAGGGUAGUGGAAUUCCCGGUGUAGCAGUGAAAUGCGUAGAGAUCGGGAGGAACAUCCGUGGCGAAGGCGACUACCUGGACCAGCACUGACACUGAGGCACGAAAGCGUGGGGAGCAAACAGGAUUAGAAACCCUGGUAGUCC
Molecule: ribosomal RNA, 450 nt
Filed under: uncultured bacterium
Lineage: Bacteria
Description: bacterial SSU rRNA
Rfam family: Bacterial small subunit ribosomal RNA
Source: RNAcentral